CCCAAUGAUAAUUGAAUGGCCGCGGUAUUUUGACCGUGCUAAGGUAGCAUAAUCAAUAGUUUUUUAAUUUAAAGCUGGAAUGAAGGGUUGGAUAAAAAAAUAACUGUCUUUAUUUAAUUUAAUUAGAAUUUUAUAUUUAAGUUAAAAAGCUUAAAUUUUAUUAAAAGACGAGAAGACCCUAUAGAGUUUUAUAAAUAAUUUAAUUAUUAUAUUUAGAAUUAAUUUUAUUAAUUUAGUUAUUUAUUUAAUUGGGGUGAUUUAAAAAUUAAAUUAACUUUUUUUAUAUAUUAACAUUUAUAAAUGAAUACUUGAUCCAUAAAUAAUGAUUAUAAGAUUAAAUUACCUUAGGGAUAACAGCGUUAUUUUUUUUUAGAGUUCAA
RNAcentral lists this ribosomal RNA (380 nucleotides) under Chrysomela cuprea. RNAcentral's name for it is "partial 16S ribosomal RNA". The record is from RNAcentral. Lineage: Eukaryota; Metazoa; Arthropoda; Insecta; Coleoptera; Chrysomelidae.